GGACAAGUGGAUGAGAUAUGAAUAGGGAUACUGAUACGGCGGUAAGUACAUACGAGUUAAGUUGGGUGAUACGGAUACUAUUCAAGCCAGACGAGCACUUCCUCCUCCUAAACGACUCCUUCGAGAACUCCUUAAGAAUACCUUCGAAUAGUUCAUCUGCAGGACAACAAAGAGUUAGAGGGCUAAGGAAUUUUUCCUACUAAGCAUUUAGACGAUCAAGUUAGAGAUAAUGCUUCCACAUAAGCAAAUAUUCAACAAGUGGACUUAAUUUAUUCAUAUUGGUUAUG
This 287-nucleotide unclassified non-coding RNA is filed under the name Hevea brasiliensis (rubber tree). The record is from RNAcentral. Lineage: Eukaryota; Viridiplantae; Streptophyta; Magnoliopsida; Malpighiales; Euphorbiaceae.